UACAGAGGUCCCUAGCGUUGUUCGGAUUUACUGGGCGUAAAGGGCGCGUAGGCGGCCAGGCAAGUCAAGUGUGAAAUCUCCGGGCUCAACCCGGAACGUGUGCUUGAGACUGCCCGGCUCGAGAGCGGAAGGGGGAAUCGGAAUAUAGGGUGUAGCGGUGAAAUGCGUUGAUAUCCUAUAGAACACCGGAGGCGAAGGCGGAUUCCUUGUACGCAACUGACGCUGAGGCGCAAAAGUCGGGGGAGUAAAC
Molecule: ribosomal RNA, 250 nt
Filed under: uncultured prokaryote
Description: partial 16S ribosomal RNA
Rfam family: Bacterial small subunit ribosomal RNA
Source: RNAcentral